AAUAAUUUAUUUGAUGGUUUCUUACUACAUGGAUAACUGUAGUAAUUCUAGAGCUAAUACAUGCGUAAAGUCCCGACUCUCGCGGGGAGGGAUGUAUUUAUUAGAUAAAAAACCAAUACGGGCUCUGCCCGGUUUUGUGGUGAAUCAUAGUAACUUUUCGAAUCGCAUGGCUUCACGCCGGCGAUAGUUCAUUCAAAUUUCUGCCCUAUCAGCUUUCGACGGUAGUGUAGUGGACUACCGUGGCGUUAACGGGUAACGGAGAAUUAGGGUUCGAUUCAGGAGAGAGAGCCUGAGAAACGGCUACCACA
This 308-nucleotide ribosomal RNA is filed under the name uncultured eukaryote. Its description in RNAcentral is "SSU rRNA". It matches the Rfam family "Eukaryotic small subunit ribosomal RNA", at positions 111 to 414 of the family's 1831-position model. The record is from RNAcentral.